This 274-nucleotide ribosomal RNA is filed under the name uncultured bacterium. Its description in RNAcentral is "partial 16S ribosomal RNA". It matches the Rfam family "Bacterial small subunit ribosomal RNA", at positions 523 to 796 of the family's 1533-position model. The record is from RNAcentral.
AUACGAAUGGAGCAAGCGUUGUUCGGAAUCACUGGGCGUAAAGCGUACGUAGGCGGAUUUUUAAGUCAGAAGUGAAAGCCCAGGGCUCAACCCUGGAACUGCUUUUGAAACUGGAAGUCUAGAGUCCCGGAGAGGUUAGGGGAAUUCCGAGUGUAGCAGUGAAAUGCGCAGAUAUUCGGAGGAACACCAGCGGCGUAGGCGCCUAACUGGACGGGAACUGACGCUGAGGUACGAAAGCGUGGGGAGCAAACGGGAUUAGAAACCCUAGUAGUCC